UACGAAGGGGGCUAGCGUUGUUCGGAAUUACUGGGCGUAAAGCGCACGUAGGCGGAUAUUUAAGUCAGGGGUGAAAUCCCGGGGCUCAACCCCGGAACUGCCUUUGAUACUGGGUAUCUCGAGUCCGAGAGAGGUGAGUGGAAUUCCGAGUGUAGAGGUGAAAUUCGUAGAUAUUCGGAGGAACACCGGUGGCGAAGGCGGCUACCUGGACAGAAACUGACGCUGAGGCGCGAAAGCUAGGGGAGCAAACAGG
This 253-nucleotide ribosomal RNA is filed under the name uncultured bacterium. RNAcentral describes it as "partial 16S ribosomal RNA". It matches the Rfam family "Bacterial small subunit ribosomal RNA", at positions 524 to 776 of the family's 1533-position model. The record is from RNAcentral.